Nomascus leucogenys (northern white-cheeked gibbon) is the source of this 576-nucleotide long non-coding RNA. RefSeq lists it as uncharacterized. Lineage: Eukaryota; Metazoa; Chordata; Mammalia; Primates; Hylobatidae. The record is from RefSeq and is a predicted model, not a curated record. The transcript is spliced from 3 exons.
UUUUGGACUUUCCAAUCUCCAGAAGUGUGAGAAAUACAUUUCCUUGGUUUACAAUAUAAUCAAUGUUUAGUAUUUUGUUAAAGCAGACUGAACAGGCUAGGAUAUAUAAUCCUUAAUAUAAUCAUUCCAACAGAGAAGAAGCCAGCAGAAUUGGUAGAGCAUAUAGGCAGUGGGGGUUCAGCAACCGUAAGAAUCAAAGUUAAAAGUUCAACCAGGAAUUACAAAAGAAAAAAAUGCUCUGGUCACUUGUUAAAAAUGGCAAGGAAACUGUAGUCCCAGCUACUCCAGAGGCUGAAGCAGGAAGAUCACUUGAGGCCAGAGUUUGAAGCCAGCCUGGGCAACAUAACAAGACCCCAUUUCUAGAAAAAGAAAAAAAAGUAAGGAAGACUUCAUUCAAGACUCUUGCAAUAUGGACCAAGAUUAUUUCAAUAAAGGAGAGCAAUUAUAUUCAACUUCACUGAAAGAAAAUAAAUAAUAUGAAUACAAAUCUUCAGAUAUUCAUUGAUACUUGCUUUGGGGAAAGCAGAAGACUAGAUGCUAUAUACAUAUGAGUAGCCCUUAGUAAGCAGAAACCCC